UGCCUGUGUGUGUGUCUC
RNAcentral lists this microRNA (18 nucleotides) under Chiloscyllium plagiosum (whitespotted bambooshark). Its description in RNAcentral is "microRNA PC-3p-480805_1". The record is from RNAcentral. Lineage: Eukaryota; Metazoa; Chordata; Chondrichthyes; Orectolobiformes; Hemiscylliidae.